Molecule: unclassified non-coding RNA, 297 nt
Filed under: Hevea brasiliensis (rubber tree)
Lineage: Eukaryota; Viridiplantae; Streptophyta; Magnoliopsida; Malpighiales; Euphorbiaceae
Source: RNAcentral
AGGCUUCAUAAGUUGGGAGAUAGGGCUAGGCUCAGGUUUUCUCAACGACUGGUUGAAAGCUAUGUUGCUUGUAGGGAAGGAUGGCCCUAUAAAAGUGAGUUUGAAGUGGGAAAAGGAUGUAGAGCACGGUUUGGGUAAAGUGAUUGCUUGGGCAUAAGUGUGGCUAAGGGCAGGAACAGAGGAACUGCUCAGAGCAUCCUAUGUGAAGACUUAAAAAUUAUAAUCUAUGGCACAGCAUGAGCAUUGGUCACCGGAAGUUAUGGAGGUGUCCUGAUGACAACUAUUGGGGGAGUUGAU